RNAcentral lists this ribosomal RNA (115 nucleotides) under Bacillus pumilus. The record is from RNAcentral. Lineage: Bacteria; Bacillati; Bacillota; Bacilli; Caryophanales; Bacillaceae.
UGGUGGCGAUAGCGAAGAGGUCACACCCGUUCCCAUACCGAACACGGAAGUUAAGCUCUUCAGCGCCGAUGGUAGUUGGGGGUCUCCCCCUGUGAGAGUAGGACGCCGCCAAGCU